GACGAACGCUGGCGGCGUGCUUAACACAUGCAAGUCGAACGGAAAGGCCUGCUUUCCCUUGUGGAUUGCGGGUACUCGAGUGGCGAACGGGUGAGUAACACGUGAGUGAUCUGCCCCCAACUUGGGUAUAAGCCUGGGAAACUGGGUCUAAUUCCCGAUAGGACUGCAGGGUGGUGCCUGUGGUGGAAAACGAUUUUCUAGUGGUUGGGGAUGAGCUCGCGGCCUGUCAGCUUGUUGGUGGGGUAAUGGCCUACCAAGGCGGCGACGGGUAGCCGGCCUGAGGGGGUGGACGGCCACAUUGGGACUGAGAUACGGCCCAGACUCCUACGGGAGGCAGCAGUGGGGAAUAUUGCACAAUGGGCGGAAGCCUGAUGCAGCGACGCCGCGUGGGGGAUGACGGCCUUCGGGUUGUAAACUCCUUUCGACCGCGAGGAAGCCACCUGGUUGGAAGGGUGGUGACGGUAGUGGUAGAAGAAGCACCGGCUAACUACGUG
Molecule: ribosomal RNA, 494 nt
Filed under: uncultured bacterium
Lineage: Bacteria
Description: partial 16S ribosomal RNA
Rfam family: Bacterial small subunit ribosomal RNA
Source: RNAcentral